GGUCCCUGCCCACCCUGGCCAUGUCAGGUGUGGGGCCCUGGGCACCUCCAGCUCUCUGCCUGGGAAAGAAAAAGAGCCCAUUUCCAUGGGACGUGCCCUCAUGGGGAGGCACAGCAGACCACCCAAGGCAGCACAUGCAGUGUCCCCGAAGUGACUAGUGCAGGCUUCCUGGGGAACCAUUUGAGCUUUGAAGGUGGGGAAGAGGAAUGUCAGAGAGUGGGCAAAAUACAACAGGAAAGGUCCAAAUUCACCCUCUGAGGGCCCGGGGCACGGGGGCAGCCUGCUCUCCUCCUGGGGCCCUGUUCCCUGUGGGGACUGGAAGAGAGGCUUUGAGUCUAGGGCCUGGGGCAGCCAGGACUGACGGGGGUGCAGUCCUAGAAGGGUCGGCAGUCACGGUGGCCCACCAUGGCAUCUCCGUAUCCUUGCUGCAUGCUGCACCCACUCCAGCUGCCAGAGCACGGAGGCAGAGACGUGGGAGCCGAUGAAGGUCGCACGCCAGCCUCCCACCUGUGAGACAAAGGGCCCUGUCACUGGAAGCCACGUCCAGCCUGGCCCCGCAGGAGCCAGGGCUCUGCGCCUAACGGAGGACUGAUGGGAAAGGGAAGGCUGGCAGCAGUGAGGGGCCAAUCAUCUGAAUCACGUUCCUGUAUUCAGGAUUUGCCCCUCCAAAACAGUUUUGAUGGGAGACACCAGCCACCUACUAUUAUGCAGCCAUGCACCACAUAACGACGUUUCAGGCAACAAUGACUGCACAUACCACAGUGGUCCCGUAAAAUUACAAUGGAGCUGAAAAAUUCCUAUUGCCUAGUGACGUCACAGCCAUUGUAAGGUCAGAGUGCAACACAUCACUCAUGUGUUUGUGUUGAUGCUGCUGUAAACAAACCUACCGCACUGCCAGUCAUAUAAAAGUAUAGCCCAUACAAUUAUGUGUAGUACUUAAUACUUAAUAAUAAUAAACAACUAUGUUGCUGGUUUACGUUGACCCCUCCCAACCAGAGCUGUCCCUGAACUCCUGAUUCCGGUCCACUGUUACCGGGGAGACUGCUGUCCCCAGGCCUCCCAAUGUCUUCACAGGUUUUUUGACCUUGGCAAUGUUCCCGUCAGACUGCAGAAGAAUUGACUAUUCCCGUUCAGGUAGAUGAUGACCGGCCCCAUAAACAGCCACCAAGGGUCACCCUCUCCCUCCCCAGCCCUGAAGGCCAAGAAAUGGGACUGGGCUCCUUGGAUUUAUGACCUUCUGGCUCCUGCAGAGAGAGGAGGACUGGGGCUUGACAAGGACACGGGGCUAAGGACUGUCCUUGGAUCUCAGUAGGACAGCUGACCUUCCCUCCACCCAAUGACUGCUCCAGUCUGAUCGUUCCUGGCCACCUGAUAAUCUCUUUGUGCAAACACCAGGAAGCCCUGGUUAGAGGUGUGGACACCAGGUGUUCUUGAGGAGGACAGUGGUGACUCAGUUUUAUCUGACCCCAUGCUCUCAAGUUCCUUUUCUGUGAGACACUUCUUAUGUGCUACUUUGGACCCUCUCACUUAUCUGUGGGCCAUUGGCCACUGGCCCCAGCCACAGCUGAGACCACCAACUCUGCAUGGACUCAGACAGGCUUCACCCAGGCACACCCAGCAGCCCCUGCCUCAGGUCCCAGCUAUGCACCCCUUAGGCUUGCCUGGAUACUAGGAUGGGAGACACUGCAUCCAUCCAUCCACGACCAGCAAGUAGAGGCAAUUAAUACCCUUCAGGCGACCCAACGCGAGCUGGGAGCCUGUGCACAAAUUAUUCUCCUUUUCUCCCAAAAGGAUUGUGCCGAGAAACAUUUGUGCAGCUUCCCGGAGGAUGGCCCUUGGGGUCGAGCAAGCAGUUAUGUUUGUUACCAAGCCUCGGCCAGCUCCAUAACACACCCUGGAGUUGGCACCACUUCCUUCCCAGCUACACUCCCCUUUCUCUCACACCUGCUCCCUGGGGUCACCUCCCUACCAAAGGAGGGGCACAGGAGCCUUUGUUUCCCGCUCUGCUUUCCAAGAAACCCAAACCAAGCCAUGCUGAGUUCCUUCCAGAGCUCCACUUCCACUUCACGGGAUCCUCUUAGUACCACAGUCAGCACCCAACAUGCCUCUGAGAUGGGCGUGUGAUCCUGACUGGCCAGUCGGCGCCUUAUUUCUCUGGCCACAGAACUUGGCUCAGGAGAUGACAUGUGACCAAUCCGAAUUUUCCCUGGGGACUGAUACGUGGACACCAGGGACCUCGUGCACCAGUAAGGUCGCUGCCUUCCUUCUCUGCCAGAGAUGAUUCUGUCUCAUCCAAUCAAGACUUGAGUGGACUCCAGCUUCCCAGAAAGCCUUUCUCCAUCAUCCCAGCCCCACGAGAUCUUACCCGCUUCACUGGUAACACCCAGAAUCCUCAGCACAACUGCUACCACCAGGUACACAGUGAGGAGGUGGUCAUCAGCAACCCAGGAAGAGUGGCCUCACCAGAAACUGACCCUGCCAGACCUCGAUCUGAGACUUCCAGCCUCCAGAACUGUGGGACAUAAAUUCCUGUUGUUUAA
Molecule: long non-coding RNA, 2540 nt
Filed under: Homo sapiens (human)
Lineage: Eukaryota; Metazoa; Chordata; Mammalia; Primates; Hominidae
Description: long non-coding RNA NONHSAT183723.1
Source: RNAcentral